Molecule: RNA transcript, 1449 nt
Organism: Musa acuminata AAA Group (dessert banana)
Lineage: Eukaryota; Viridiplantae; Streptophyta; Magnoliopsida; Zingiberales; Musaceae
Gene name: bZIP transcription factor 12-like
Exons: 5
Source: RefSeq, a predicted model, not a curated record
UUCUUGAAUUCCCAUUUCGAACUCAUCCUCUCUCUCUCUCUCUCUCCGACCGAGAUCGGUGGACAAAACCGCACAAACCCACGCCGCGAGACUAGAAGCAGAAGGAACCCUAGCCCCUCAUUCCUACCUCGCAUGGCGUCGCCACGGGUGAUGGCGUCGCCCUCGUCGUCCGCGAGCUCCGACGUUGCCCGCCAAUCUUCCGCGUAUGCCUCCGCCGCAUCGUGCGACCAGACUGAGGCCCUCGGAUCCGUGAGCAUGGACCACCUCCUCCGCGGUUUCUGCGCCCAGCCGCCGUUCCCCCUGCCCCUGCCUAGGAACGCCGCUGGCACGACGGCGGAUGUGGUUUGGGAGAUCCCCGACGGGGCUGGAUCGGGGUACGAGGACGCGGCGGCGGGGGCAGACGGGGAGGUGACCCUCGAGGAGUUCUUGGCGAGGACUGGCGCAGUGAGGGAGGAGGACGUCGGGGUUUCGACAGGGUUCGUGGUGGAUCCGGCGAUCGGUGGGCGGUUUUGUCAGCAGGAGCAGCAGUUGCCGCUGGAGAAUCCGAUGCUCGGGUUUGGGAGUGCCUUGGAGAGUGGAGGGCGGAGAGCGAGGAAGAGAGUGGUGUUGGAUGAUCCAGUGGAUAAAGUGGUGCUGCGGAGGCAGAAGAGGAUGAUCAAGAACAGGGAGUCGGCUGCGAGGUCGAGAGAGAGGAAACAGGCUUACACUGUAGAGCUUGAGUCUCUGGUGACACGGUUGGAGGAGGAAAACGUUACGCUCGUAAGAGAACAGGAGGAGCAGCACAAGAUGAGAUUUCAGCAGAAGACAGUUGGUUAAGGUUGUGGAUGUUCCUUCUAUGAGUUUUGUUGGUGAUCGAUUGUACGAGUUAUUGGAAUUGACUAGCUACUCUCAUGGAGAUCUUAUUGCUCUGCAGUGGAUAGAAUCUUCUCUGAAGAGACAAAAAAGGGUCAUGAGAAUCUCAACUCUGAUAAUUUCAAAAAACAUUAUUUGAUUUGUCAUCAGAGAUUGGUAGAGGGGAUUGGAAGUUUGUGGAGUUGAGUAGGUUGGAGAUUGGGAGACUAGUCUACAGGCCAAGGACAGUCCAGCUGAGCUUAUGGUGAAUAUUAUCCCAGUUAAUGAGAGCAGGAAACCACUGCCUGUUCUCCGAAGGACUCAUUCCAUGCAGUGGUAGAUAUUUCCUAAGCUGAUGACAAUAUUAUUGUCCAAAGAAGGAAGUCCAUUCUGCUCACAGCGCACAGCAAGGAAAACAUAAUAUAUGGCAUAGCUGAUGCACCUGGCUUUUUCCUUGAAGAUCCAUGCUGACAUUUUUUCCUGAAAAUACUCAUUUGUGAAGAUUAAUGGAUGGAAACAAACAGAGGAGGAAUUUGUAGAUAGUGUUGUGUUAUGCAGCUUCCUGACUAGUAAUGUUUUUGCAUCAAUAAUGCAAAAUUACAUCACUCUUUUAUUUUA